RNAcentral lists this ribosomal RNA (361 nucleotides) under uncultured bacterium. Its description in RNAcentral is "bacterial SSU rRNA". It matches the Rfam family "Bacterial small subunit ribosomal RNA", at positions 109 to 477 of the family's 1533-position model. The record is from RNAcentral.
AGUAACGCGUGGAUUAUCUACCUAUUGGUACGGGACAACAGUUGGAAACGACUGCUAAUACCGUAUAAGCUGGUAACGGGAAAGGGGGCCUCUUCUUGAAAGCUCUCGCCAGUAGAUGAGUCCGCGUUUCAUUAGCUAGACGGUGGGGUAACGGCCUACCGUGGCAACGAUGAAUAGCAGGCCUGAGAGGGUGGCCUGCCACACUGGGACUGGAACACGGCCCAGACUCCUACGGGAGGCAGCAGUGGGGAAUAUUGCGCAAUGGACGAAAGUCUGACGCAGCGACGCCGCGUGGAGGAUGAAGGUUUUCGGAUCGUAAACUCCUGUCAAGAGGGAAGAAACCUAUUAGGAAUAAUACUCC